Ornithorhynchus anatinus (platypus) is the source of this 342-nucleotide long non-coding RNA. RefSeq lists it as uncharacterized. The transcript is spliced from 3 exons. The record is from RefSeq and is a predicted model, not a curated record. NCBI's taxonomy places the organism in Eukaryota, Metazoa, Chordata, Mammalia, Monotremata, Ornithorhynchidae.
CUCAACUGCUCUUCUGGGAGGGAGAGAAAAUAAAUAGGCAGAGAGAGGCGCGUUUGAAGUAACCUUUUAAAGAAGAAGGCAGCAGCCAAUAGGACUUUUUUUUUCUUAUUUUUCACACUUCUUACUAGAGAAAUUUAUGUUAUCUCAGCAAUUAAGGAGAAGAACAAACGACUAGGGUUCCAGGCUGUGAAGGGAAGUAGCCACUUAAACCAGAACAUAGAGGAGACAGAAGCACAUCCUGCCUAUUCUGAGAGCCUGAAAUAUUCAGGAAACGUUAACGGAGGAAUGGAAGUGUUCUUCUUGAAAUGGUGUCUCCUCGCUGGAUGCCUGUAGGGAAGCGUA